Molecule: long non-coding RNA, 421 nt
Organism: Cyprinus carpio carpio
Lineage: Eukaryota; Metazoa; Chordata; Actinopteri; Cypriniformes; Cyprinidae
Source: Ensembl
CGCUAGCUAACCAACCACUUGAGCAACUUUAAAUUGUUUCAAAAGUCUUCAAAGUUGGUGAGAGUCUUCAAAACCAAUGACUUUAAAGGAGAAUCAGCUGACUGUCCCGUUACUGACCUCCAUCGUGGUGGCAGUGCUCGGCUCAUUCCAAAUAGGAUAGGACACAGGCAACAACAAUGCCCCUGUCUGCGUGAGUAGAGUUGACUUUGGGGGCCAGCCGCUGGUUAGCAUGAUUUCUCAGUUUACGUACAAACUUUUCAGUGCCCUCAUAAAACACUGAAUAAACUUUACCAAGUCAGAGAAUAUUUCUCUUCAGCCAGCGCUGGAUUUGGAAGGCUUCAUAUUUGCACACAGUAUUAAGGAUUUUGGAGCACUUCUUGGUUCGCUUGGGGUGAAAGGUCUUGCUGACACCUUCAGGAGG